GACGAACGCUGGCGGCGUGCUUAACACAUGCAAGUCGAACGAUGAAGCCGGAGCUUGCUCUGGUGAAUUAGUGGCGAACGGGUGAGCAACACGUGAGUAACCUGCCCUUGACUCUGGGAUAACUGCGGGAAACUGUAGCUAAUACCGGAUACGACCCUCGGAGGCAUCUCCUGGGGGUGGAAAGAAUUUCGGUCAAGGAUGGACUCGCGGCCUAUCAGCUAGUUGGUGAGGUAAAGGCUCACCAAGGCGACGACGGGUAGCCGGCCUGAGAGGGUGACCGGCCGCACUGGGAGUGAGACACGGCCCAGACUCCUAGGGGAGGCAGCAGUUGGGAAUAUUGCACAAUGGGCGCAAGCCUGAUGCAGCAACGCCGCGUGAGGGAUGACGGCCUUCGGGUUGUAAACCUCUUUUAGCAGGGAAGCAGCGAAAGUGACGGUACCUGCAGAAAAAGCACCGGCUAACUACGUGCCAGCAGCCGCCGUAA
RNAcentral lists this ribosomal RNA (484 nucleotides) under uncultured bacterium. RNAcentral describes it as "partial 16S ribosomal RNA". It matches the Rfam family "Bacterial small subunit ribosomal RNA", at positions 28 to 523 of the family's 1533-position model. The record is from RNAcentral.